This is a non-coding RNA of Cricetulus griseus (Chinese hamster), 1558 nucleotides long. The record is from RefSeq and is a predicted model, not a curated record. Lineage: Eukaryota; Metazoa; Chordata; Mammalia; Rodentia; Cricetidae.
CCACAUUCACUGCACCUGUAAGAUUUCUCUUCAUUAUUGAUUCUCUGGGGUGGAAUAAGUGUUAACUUAAGGCUGAAGAAGGCUUUCCCACACUCACUGCAUUGAUGAGGUCUUUCUCCAGUGAGAACUCUCUGAUGCAGGUUAAGGGUAGAGCUUUGGAUAAAACAUUUACUACAAUGGAUGCACUCAUAUGGCUGUUCACCCAUGUGAAAUCUUUGAUGGGAAAUAAGGCCAGCUGUUCCUGUGCUGUGGAUGUCAUGAUGCUCAACAAGUCUGCACUUCCUGCUGAAGGCUCUUCCACACUCACUACACUUAUGAACCUUUUAUUCCGUGUGAACUCGCUGAUGUUGAACAAUUCCGUGUUGUGUCUAAAGGCUUUCCCAUGUUGGUUGCAUGUAUAAAGCCUGGGAGUGAUGUGGAUUCUUCAGAGUACAGCAAGGUCAGAAUUGUGGUUAGGGCAUUCCCCAAAGUCACUGUCACACUGGUACAUUGUUUAUAACUCUCUAGUGGACAAUAAGGCCAGAAGGUUGCCUACAGAACUUCCCACACUUGGUGAACUAAUAACGCUUCCUCCCUUGCGGACUCUCAUGCUGAAGAAACUCUCACCUGGUCUGGUUCUUCAGUUGCUGGUGCUAGCACCAGAGACAAUUGGAGGUCCCACCUAGAACCCGGAAAUCAGAGCUAUCCUGAGGGACCAGUCCUGAAGAUUGUGGCCACAAGACAAGGAAGAGGGCACUGGGGUUGACAGUCCAACUCAAAAGGAUCUGAGUCCACUGAUAAGGAGGAUGAGGAUGAGGAUCAUUUUGAGGAAGAAAAGGAAUUGGAAGAGGAAAUUAAAGAUUUACAAAUGCAGUUAAGGGAGAUGGGAAUGAAGGAAAAACUUAAGAGCAUCAAAAAUAAACCUUGCCCCCUGCCUGCAUCUGUGCCCCCCCAGCUUAUGAGAAUUAUACUACUUGUGUUCCUGAUUCUAAUGCUUCAUCUCCCAAAGGGGUAGUUUUUGGAAAGUCAUUGGGUUUCCCUGUUAUAAGUCCCUGACCCUAAUAAUCCACAACAGGUCAUGCUGCAGCAUGUAGCCCUUAAAUUUAAGGAGCGUAAACAAUUGAAAGAGGCUGUCUACAGUUAUGGCCCUUUGGCUCCAUUCACAAUAGCUAUGACAGAGUCUUUCUCACCAUUUAGUCUUACCAGAGAGAUUGGCAAUAGCUUGCUAGAGCAAUGCUUAAUGGAGGAGAUUUUUGUUAGGUCGAGGGGAAUUUUAGGGGGCAUGCAUCAUUAUGGCUAAUAUGAACACACAGGCAGGUUUUCUUCAAAGAAAUGUUGAUAUGUGAAAGCACCAUGAACUCUAAAUUUUCACUAUCUUUUUCUUGUAAAGAUAUACAGAGGAAAUAAUCAUUUAAGUCAGAAUCUGUGAUGGGCCACUGUGUAGGUAACAGAGGCUGCAAAGACAUUCCAGGCUGUGCAGAGCCCAUCACCUGAUUUACUUUAUUUGUGUCUCUCAUCUCUGUCAACAUUCUCCAUUUUACAGAUUUCCUUUCAAUAAUAAAUACAGGAGAUUCCACGG